UGGAGUAGGAGAGACUUGCAUUGG
This 24-nucleotide non-coding RNA is filed under the name Cricetulus griseus (Chinese hamster). Lineage: Eukaryota; Metazoa; Chordata; Mammalia; Rodentia; Cricetidae. The record is from RNAcentral.